RNAcentral lists this ribosomal RNA (235 nucleotides) under uncultured bacterium. Its description in RNAcentral is "partial 16S ribosomal RNA". It matches the Rfam family "Bacterial small subunit ribosomal RNA", at positions 118 to 347 of the family's 1533-position model. The record is from RNAcentral.
UGAGCAAUCUGCCCUUCACAUCGGAAUAACCAUUGGAAACGACGUCUAAUGCCGAAUACGACCUCCUUUCGCAUGAUUGGAGGUGGAAAGCUCCGGCGGAGAAGGAUGAGCUCGCGGCCUAUCAGCUAGUUGGUGUGGGUAAUGGCCCACCAAGGCGACGACGGGUAGCCGGCCUGAGAGGGUGACCCGGCCACACGUGGGACUGAGACACGGCCCAGACUCCGUACGGGAGCAG